RNAcentral lists this ribosomal RNA (254 nucleotides) under uncultured bacterium. RNAcentral describes it as "partial 16S ribosomal RNA". It matches the Rfam family "Bacterial small subunit ribosomal RNA", at positions 524 to 776 of the family's 1533-position model. The record is from RNAcentral.
GACGUAGGGUGCGAGCGUUGUCCGGAAUUAUUGGGCGUAAAGAGCUCGUAGGCGGUCUGUCGCGUCGGUCGUGAAAACUUGGGGCUUAACCCUGAGCUUGCGGUCGAUACGGGCAUGACUGGAGUUCGGCAGGGGAGACUGGAAUUCCUGGUGUAGCGGUGAAAUGCGCAGAUAUCAGGAGGAACACCGGUGGCGAAGGCGGGUCUCUGGGCCGAUACUGACGCUGAGGAGCGAAAGCGUGGGGAGCGAACAGG